Molecule: ribosomal RNA, 707 nt
Filed under: uncultured Zetaproteobacteria bacterium
Lineage: Bacteria; Pseudomonadati; Pseudomonadota; Candidatius Mariprofundia
Description: bacterial SSU rRNA
Rfam family: Bacterial small subunit ribosomal RNA
Source: RNAcentral
GGAGCAAAGCAGGGGACCUUUCGGGGCCUUGUGCUUAUAGAUGAGUCCGCGUCAGAUUAGCUAGUUGGUGGGGUAAGAGCCUACCAAGGCGAUGAUCUGUAGCUGGUUUGAGAGGAUGAUCAGUCACACUGGAACUGAGACACGGUCCAGACUCCUACGGGAGGCAGCAGUGGGGAAUUUUGCACAAUGGGCGCAAGCCUGAUGCAGCGAUGCCGCGUGUGGGAAGAAGGCCUUUGGGUUGUAAACCACUUUCAAUUGGGAAGAAGGGAUGAGAAUUAAUAAUUCUCUGACUUGACGGUACCUUUAGAAGAAGCACCGGCUAAUUUCGUGCCAGCAGCCGCGGUAAUACGAAAGGUGCAAGCGUUGUUCGGAUUUACUGGGCGUAAAGAGAUCGUAGGUGGUUUGUUAAGUUGGAUGUGAAAUCCCGGGGCUCAACCUCGGAACUGCAUCCAAAACUGGCAGACUUGAGUUCGGGAGGGGUAAGCGGAAUUCCGUGUGUAGCAGUGAAAUGCGUAGAUAUACGGAGGAACACCUGAGGCGAAGGCGGCUUACUGGACCGAUACUGACACUGAGGAUCGAAAGCGUGGGUAGCAAACAGGAUUAGAUACCCUGGUAGUCCACGCCCUAAACGAUGUCAACUAGCCGUUGCGGGUAUCGACCCCUGCAGUGGCGCAGCUAACGCGAUAAGUUGACCGCCUGGGGAGUAC